GUAGAAUACACGUUUUCUGGUGCUUGCUGUCUCAUAGACAUGCAGUUAAACGGGAAACUCGUGCGAUAACGCAAAACCACAUCAAAUCGAGUGCUGCCCCCGCAACGGUGAUAGAAAAGACCUGACAACAACCCAUUGGAGUUGCUCACUAGAGCUUCCGAGAAGGGGUUAGGAAAUUGUUCUUCAGCCCGGAUACCGGCCAGAAAAUAGGUCUACGU
Molecule: non-coding RNA, 218 nt
Filed under: Hydrogenovibrio marinus
Lineage: Bacteria; Pseudomonadati; Pseudomonadota; Gammaproteobacteria; Thiotrichales; Piscirickettsiaceae
Source: RNAcentral